Molecule: ribosomal RNA, 206 nt
Filed under: uncultured bacterium
Lineage: Bacteria
Description: partial 16S ribosomal RNA
Rfam family: Bacterial small subunit ribosomal RNA
Source: RNAcentral
UACGUAGGCGGCCCAGUAAGUUAGAAGUGAAAUAAUAUAGCUCAACUAUAUAAAGCUUUUAAAACUGCUAGGCUUGAGAGAUGGAAGGGAAAGUGGAAUUCCUAGUGUAGCGGUGAAAUGCGCAGAUAUUAGGAAGAAUACCGGUGGCGAAGGCGACUUUCUGGUCAUCAUCUGACGCUGAGGUACGAAAGCGUGGGUAGCAAACA